This 503-nucleotide long non-coding RNA is filed under the name Homo sapiens (human). RNAcentral describes it as "long non-coding RNA NONHSAT067130.2". The record is from RNAcentral. Lineage: Eukaryota; Metazoa; Chordata; Mammalia; Primates; Hominidae.
UCACUCCAUCCCCACUCUAGUUUCAUCCAGGAUCGAGCAGGGCGAAUGGGGGGGGAGGCACCCGAGCUGGCCCUGGACCCGGUGCCUCAGGAUGCGUCCACCAAGAAGCUGAGCGAGUGUCUCAAGCGCAUCGGGGACGAACUGGACAGUAACAUGGAGCUGCAGAGAUGAUUGCCGCCGUGGACACAGACUCCCCCCGAGAGGUCUUUUUCCGAGUGGCAGCUGACAUGUUUUCUGACGGCAACUUCAACUGGGGCCGGGUUGUCGCCCUUUUCUACUUUGCCAGCAAACUGGUGCUCAAGCCCUGUGCACCAAGGUGCCGGAACUGAUCAGAACCAUCAUGGGCUGGACAUUGGACUUCCUCCGGGAGCGGCUGUUGGGCUGGAUCCAAGACCAGGGUGGUUGGGUGAGACUCCUCAAGCCUCCUCACCCCCACCACCGCGCCCUCACCACCGCCCCUGCCCCACCGUCCCUGCCCCCCGCCACUCCUCUGGGACCCUGGG